This is a non-coding RNA of Ictidomys tridecemlineatus (thirteen-lined ground squirrel), 72 nucleotides long. NCBI's taxonomy places the organism in Eukaryota, Metazoa, Chordata, Mammalia, Rodentia, Sciuridae. The record is from Rfam.
CGGGGUGUAGGUCAGUGGUAGAGCACUUGUCUGGCAUGCGUGAGGCCCUAGGUUCAAUUCCUAGCACCGCAA